GGUAUAAUCAUGAUCAUUGAUGAUUACAUGAAUAUCCUUGGCCGUGGUGCAGGGAUGAUUCGAUGAUGUGGGUUAUUUAUUAAGUUGAGUCUCAGCGAUAAAGUUGAUGAAAACCCUUUUUUAAAUCAUAAUGAUAGUAGAUAUCAUGCUUGUGACGACCCCAGAAUAGGUCCAAUCCAUCCAACCCAUUCUGAGGCGCCAAAUACAUGGUACAGAAAACAACUACAACUUUAUUACAACAAUUGUCGUGCAAAAUACAACAACACUUAAACUGUGAGUUUAAAUACAAAUAUAUACCAACUGUGACUCAUGUUCUAACCGUGGACAGCACCUCAUAAUGACACCUUACAUAAAGGUAUAGUCGAAAACUGUUUUAGAAAUUAGAAUCUUUGGGAAGUGCUCAAGGAAACCUUCGUACAUGGGAG
RNAcentral lists this long non-coding RNA (425 nucleotides) under Panax ginseng (ginseng). RNAcentral's name for it is "long non-coding RNA (PGIN_LNC016824)". The record is from RNAcentral. Lineage: Eukaryota; Viridiplantae; Streptophyta; Magnoliopsida; Apiales; Araliaceae.